UACAGAGGGUGCGAGCGUUGUUCGGAAUCACUGGGCGUAAAGCGCGUGUAGGCGGCACGAUAAGUCGGAUGUGAAAGCCCCGGGCUCAACCUGGGAACUGCAUCCGAUACUGUCGAGCUAGAGUCCCGGAGGGGGUGGUGGAAUUCCCGGUGUAGAGGUGAAAUUCGUAGAUAUCGGGAGGAACACCUGUGGCGAAGGCGACCACCUGGACGGGCACUGACGCUGAGACGCGAAAGCGUGGGUAGCAAACAGG
Molecule: unclassified non-coding RNA, 253 nt
Filed under: uncultured Myxococcales bacterium
Lineage: Bacteria; Pseudomonadati; Myxococcota; Myxococcia; Myxococcales
Description: contains 16S-23S intergenic spacer region
Rfam family: Bacterial small subunit ribosomal RNA
Source: RNAcentral